UACGAAGGGGGCUAGCGUUGCUCGGAAUCACUGGGCGUAAAGCGCACGUAGGCGGGUCGUUAAGUCGGGGGUGAAAUCCUGGAGCUCAACUCCAGAACUGCCUUCGAUACUGGCGACCUUGAGUCCGGGAGAGGUGAGUGGAACUCCGAGUGUAGAGGUGAAAUUCGUAGAUAUUCGCAAGAACACCAGUGGCGAAGGCGGCUCACUGGCCCGAUACUGACGCUGAGGCACGAAAGCGUGGGGAGCAAACAGG
This 253-nucleotide ribosomal RNA is filed under the name uncultured bacterium. RNAcentral's name for it is "partial 16S ribosomal RNA". It matches the Rfam family "Bacterial small subunit ribosomal RNA", at positions 524 to 776 of the family's 1533-position model. The record is from RNAcentral.